GGCCCUAUCGUCUAGUGGCCUAGGACACUGCCCUUUCAAGGCAGGAACUGGGGUUCGAAUCCCCAUAGGGUCA
RNAcentral lists this transfer RNA (73 nucleotides) under Gemmata obscuriglobus. It matches the Rfam family "tRNA". Rfam says of the family: Transfer RNA (tRNA) molecules are approximately 80 nucleotides in length. Their secondary structure includes four short double-helical elements and three loops (D, anti-codon, and T loops). Lineage: Bacteria; Pseudomonadati; Planctomycetota; Planctomycetia; Gemmatales; Gemmataceae. The record is from Rfam by way of RNAcentral. RNAcentral also lists the same sequence under 10 other names.